AGCAGCCGCGGUAAUUCCAGCUCCAAUAGCGUAUAUUAAAGUUGUUGCAGUUAAAAAGCUCGUAGUUGAAUUUCGAGAUCAAUUUGUCGGUCGUGCCUCGGUACGUACUGGCAUUAUUGAUUUCUCCCUUCUGAAGAACCGCGAUGUCAUUAAUUUGGUGUCGUGGGGAAUCAGGACUGUUACUUUGAAAAAAUUAGAGUGUUUAAAGCAGGCGCACGCUUGAAUACAUUAGCAUGGAAUAAUGAAAUAGGACGUUUGAUUCUAUUUUGUUGGUUUCUAGGAUCGACGUAAUGAUUAAUAGGGAUAGUUGGGGGCAUUAGUAUUCAAUUGUCAGAGGUGAAAUUCUUGGAUUUAUUGAAGACUAACUACUGCGAAAGUAUUUGCCAAGGAUGUUUUCAUUAAUCAAGAACGAAAGUUAGGGGAUCGAAGACGAUCAGAUACCGUCGUAGUCUUAACCAUAAACUAUGCCGACUAGGGAUCGGGAUGAUGUUAAUUUUUAAUGACUCAUUCGGCGCCUUAA
This 520-nucleotide ribosomal RNA is filed under the name uncultured Glomus. RNAcentral describes it as "SSU rRNA". It matches the Rfam family "Eukaryotic small subunit ribosomal RNA", at positions 569 to 1091 of the family's 1831-position model. Lineage: Eukaryota; Fungi; Glomeromycota; Glomeromycetes; Glomerales; Glomeraceae. The record is from RNAcentral.